GAUGAACGCUGGCGGCGUGCCUAAUACAUGCAAGUCGAGCGAACGGACGAGAAGCUUGCUUCUCUGAUGUUAGCGGCGGACGGGUGAGUAACACGUGGAUAACCUACCUAUAAGACUGGGAUAACUUCGGGAAACCGUAGCUAAUACCGGAUAAUAUUUUGAACCGCAUGGUUCAAAAGUGAAAGACGGUCUUGCUGUCACUUAUAGAUGGAUCCGCGCUGCAUUAGCUAGUUGGUAAGGUAACGGCUUACCAAGGCAACGAUGCAUAGCCGACCUGAGAGGGUGAUCGGCCACACUAGAACUGAGACACGGUCCAGACUCCUACGGGAGGCAGCAGUAGGGAAUCUUCCGCAAUGGGCGAAAGCCUGACGGAGCAACGCCGCGUGAGUGAUGAAGGUCUUCGGAUCGUAAAACUCUGUUAUUAGGGAAGAACAUAUGUGUAAGUAACUGUGCACAUCUUGACGGUACCUAAUCAGAAAGCCACGGCCAACUACGUG
Molecule: ribosomal RNA, 497 nt
Filed under: uncultured bacterium
Lineage: Bacteria
Description: partial 16S ribosomal RNA
Rfam family: Bacterial small subunit ribosomal RNA
Source: RNAcentral